Molecule: ribosomal RNA, 546 nt
Filed under: uncultured Glomus
Lineage: Eukaryota; Fungi; Glomeromycota; Glomeromycetes; Glomerales; Glomeraceae
Description: SSU rRNA
Rfam family: Eukaryotic small subunit ribosomal RNA
Source: RNAcentral
CGCAGCCGCGGUAAUUCCGGCUCCAAUAGCGUAUAUUAAAGUUGCUGCAGUUAAAAAGCUCGUAGUUGAAUUUCGGGACUAAUAUGUCGGUCGUGCCUCGGUACGUACUGGUAUUUUUGGUUUCUCCCUUCUGACGAACCUUGAUGUCAUUAAUUUGGUGUCUUGGGAAAUCAGGACUGUUACUUUGAAAAAAUUAGAGUGUUUAAAGCAGGCUCACGCUUGAAUGCAUUAGCAUGGAAUAAUGAAAUAGGACGUUUGAUUCUAUUUUGUUGGUUUCUAGGAUCGACGUAAUGAUUAAUAGGGAUAGUUGGGGGCAUUAGUAUUCAAUUGUCAGAGGUGAAAUUCUUGGAUUUAUUGAAGCUAACUACUGCGAAAGCAAUUUGCCAGGAUGUUUUCAUUAAUCAAGAACGUAAAGUUAGGGGUCGAAGACGAUCAGAUACCGUCGUAGUCUUAACCAUAAACCUAUGCCGACUAGGGAUCGGAUGAUGUUAAUUUUUAAUGUACUCAUUCGGCGUCCUUACGGGAAACCAAAGUUGUUAGGGUUCG